UGGGGAAUAUUGGUCAAUGGCCGAGAGGCUGAACCAGCCAAGUCGCGUGAGGGAAGAAUGUCCUAUGGAUUGUAAACCUCUUUUGUCAGGGAGCAAAGUCACCCACGUGUGGGUGUUGGAGAGUACCUGAAGAAAAAGCAUCGGCUAACUCCGUGCCAGCAGCCGCGGUAAUACGGAGGAUGCGAGCGUUAUCCGGAUUUAUUGGGUUUAAAGGGUGCGUAGGCGGGUUAUCAAGUCAGCGGUAAAAUCGUGGAGCUCAACUCCAUCCAGCCGUUGAAACUGAUGAUCUUGAGUGGGCGAGAAGUAUGCGGAAUGCGUGGUGUAGCGGUGAAAUGCAUAGAUAUCACGCAGAACUCCGAUUGCGAAGGCAGCAUACCGGCGCCCGACUGACGCUGAAGCACGAAAGCGUGGGUAUCGAACAGG
Molecule: ribosomal RNA, 423 nt
Filed under: uncultured bacterium
Lineage: Bacteria
Description: bacterial SSU rRNA
Rfam family: Bacterial small subunit ribosomal RNA
Source: RNAcentral